Molecule: long non-coding RNA, 1245 nt
Organism: Archocentrus centrarchus (flier cichlid)
Lineage: Eukaryota; Metazoa; Chordata; Actinopteri; Cichliformes; Cichlidae
Exons: 3
Source: RefSeq, a predicted model, not a curated record
UUUCAGAGAAAGACGUGUGCAAAAGAAAGGAGUCCGCUGACGGCCAGAGAGAGAGAGAGGUGAUCCCUGUGGAGCUUCCUUGAAGAAGGAUCCCAGUAUCACAUAUCAGUUAGAUGACCAAUUUAGGGCCUACAUGACUGCUGCAGCUCAGCGCUGGAGCUCAGAUCAAUGGAAUACUGUUGGGGAUACAACGGACCACACCCACACACUGAUUAGACCCUCUGAUUGGAUGUCACGUGGAUGACUUGACCACUACCAUGGCUUUCAUGCAAAUUGAUCAAGGGUUGGAAGCAGACACAGACAAACACCUUCUAGUCCAAACAUACGUGCACACAAACACAGUCACAUGCACGUCGUCCCCCUUCUACAGCCAAGGGAAGUAAUGAAAACAAAUGGCAGAGUUCUAUUCCCACUGGGACCUGAGGAGGAACUUAGUCAUCAAGCUAAUUUUAUUCUUGUCUGGCUCAGAGACUCCAUUUCCUCUGGGUGUUUUUACAAACGCUGGGCUGCACCACGCCAUCGGCCAGUGAUGGAUAUGAGGGCCUGAUGGCCGGAUGGCAGAUGCUGGCCCUGUAACUCAAGCUCCAAACACUUGCUGAUGACCCCCCUUGCACCCUGUGCAUUCCUUGCUCAAUGCAGAGUAGCUGCUUGGGUGUGUGUAUGCAAACUUGUACUUUCCAAACAAAGGCCCAGAGAUAUCACAAUCACAUAGUUAGAUGGAUAAGCAUAUCUACUGUGGAAGUUACUGUAUGCAUAUAACGUGUCAGUACAAAAGAAUACAAUGGGCAGAGUUCCCGUUCUCAGCCAAGAAAUCAUCAGUAAUUUUCAUUAAACUUGUCUGACUGUUAUCAUCAUCAUUUUUAAUUAUUUAAAUUUAGGCCAAUAUGUUGGUAUUGUAAUCUGUUAUAGGCCAAUAAAAUUCAGCUAGCUAAUUUGGUAAAGUAGGACCUGAAAUCUUAAGCAAAAUCACAGAUGUGGCUGAAUGUGUACUAACAUUAUUUCGAGUAAAUCUACCAAUUUUGUAGUUUGUUUAAGACCUCUCUAACUUUAAGUGCAUCCAAUUACUCCAUCUUUGCUUCCCCUAUAUGCUAUGAGUAAGAAUCAUGUUACUGGCAGUGGCAGGCUGUAGUUUAGCAGCUUAAGCAGCGAGAGCUCUUGUUUCUGCUGCAGGCUACUGUGUAGAGAGGGUGGUUAAACUUGCAGCAAAUUCAUAUUAGUACGUCAUUUGUUGUUAGACUUUUCGUC